UACAGGUGGUGCGAGUGGUAUCCACGAAUAUUGAGUCUAAAGCGCUCGUAGCGGGCCCGGACAGUUCUCUGUGAAAUCUUCUGGCUUAACCAGAAGGCGUGCAGGGAAUACUACCAGGCUUGGGAGUGGGGGAGGCCAAGGGUACUUUAGGGGGAGGAGUAAAAUCCUGUAAUCCUUAAAGGACCUUCAGUAGCGAAGGCGCUUGGCCAAAACACGUCCGACCGUGAGGAGCGAAGGCUAGGGGAGCAAAUCG
This 253-nucleotide ribosomal RNA is filed under the name uncultured archaeon. RNAcentral's name for it is "partial 16S ribosomal RNA". It matches the Rfam family "Archaeal small subunit ribosomal RNA", at positions 474 to 726 of the family's 1478-position model. The record is from RNAcentral.